GUUUAAUUUAAAAUAAAUUGCUUCAGCUUAAUUAAAUAAGUUGUUUUUGCAACAAAAGUUACACGACAUGCGUAGCAACUUUAGCGCACAGUUCACAAGGGUGUAUAAAUGGAUUUAAUGAUGAUCCUUCCGCAGGUUCACCUACGGAAA
RNAcentral lists this unclassified non-coding RNA (150 nucleotides) under uncultured fungus. RNAcentral describes it as "sequence contains ITS1". The record is from RNAcentral. Lineage: Eukaryota; Fungi.